CCUACGGGCGUCAGCAGUGAGGAAUAUUGGUCAAUGGACGAGAGUCUGAACCAGCCAAGUAGCGUGAAGGAUGACUGCCCGAUGGGUUGUACACUUCUUUUAUAAAGGAAUAAAACGAGGCACGUGUGCCUUUUUGCAUGUACUUUAUGAAUAAGGAUCGGCUAACGCCGUGCCAGCAGCCGCGGUAAUACGGAGGAUCCGAGCGUUAUCCGGAUUGAUUGGGUGUAAAGGGUGCGGAGGCGGAAUGUCAAGUCAGCGGUAAAAAUUCGGGGCUCAACCCCGUCGUGCCGGUUAGACGGAUGUUCUUGAGUGGGCGAGAAGUAUGCGGAAUGCGUGGUGUAGCGGUGAAAUGCAUAGAUAUCACGCAGAACUCCGAUUGCGAAGGCAGCAUACCGGCGCCCAACUGACGCUGAAUCACGAAAGCGUGGGUAUCGAACAGGAUUAGAUACCCCUGUAGUC
This 459-nucleotide ribosomal RNA is filed under the name uncultured bacterium. RNAcentral's name for it is "partial 16S ribosomal RNA". It matches the Rfam family "Bacterial small subunit ribosomal RNA", at positions 338 to 795 of the family's 1533-position model. The record is from RNAcentral.